Molecule: ribosomal RNA, 253 nt
Filed under: uncultured bacterium
Lineage: Bacteria
Description: partial 16S ribosomal RNA
Rfam family: Bacterial small subunit ribosomal RNA
Source: RNAcentral
UACGUAGGGGGCAAGCGUUGUCCGGAAUCAUUGGGCGUAAAGAGCGUGUAGGCGGCCAGAUAAGUCCGCUGUGAAAUCUCGAGGCUCAACUUCGAGCUGUCGGUGGAAACUGUCUGGCUAGAGUCCGGAAGAGGAGAAUGGAAUUCCUGGUGUAGCGGUGAAAUGCGCAGAUGUCAGGAAGAACACCCGUGGCGAAGGCGGUUCUCUGGGACGGUACUGACGCUGAGACGCGAAAGCGUGGGGAGCGAACAGG